AUUGAACGCUGGCGGCAUGCCUUACACAUGCAAGUCGAACGGCAGCACGGGUGCUUGCACCUGGUGGCGAGUGGCGAACGGGUGAGUAAUACAUCGGAACGUACCUUAUCGUGGGGGAUAACGCAGCGAAAGUUGCGCUAAUACCGCAUACGCCCUGAGGGGGAAAGCGGGGGAUCGAAAGACCUCGCGCGAUUAGAGCGGCCGAUGCCUGAUUAGCUUGUUGGUGGGGUAAAAGCCCACCAAGGCGACGACCAGUAGCUGGUCUGAGAGGACGAUCAGCCACACUGGGACUGAGACACGGCCCAGACUCCUACGGGAGGCAGCAGUGGGGAAUUUUGGACAAUGGGGGCAACCCUGAUCCAGCAAUGCCGCGUGAGUGAAGAAGGCCUUCGGGUUGUAAAGCUCUUUUGUCAGGGAAGAAACACCGGCUCUAACACAGUCCGGGAAUGACGGUACCUGAAGAAUAAGCACCGGCUAACUACGUGCCAGCAGCCGCCGUAA
This 501-nucleotide ribosomal RNA is filed under the name uncultured bacterium. RNAcentral describes it as "partial 16S ribosomal RNA". It matches the Rfam family "Bacterial small subunit ribosomal RNA", at positions 29 to 523 of the family's 1533-position model. The record is from RNAcentral.